GCAACGGCUAGCGGCUAUUUCAAAAUCUGAUUUGAUUUGUUUUGCUUUUGAUAUGAUGUUUGGAAUACAUUCAAACCAAAUAAAACCUGCUGUGCCAUGAACUUGGGAAACUCGUAUGCAGUAUGCUCUGUAUGCAAUAUUAAAUUGUUGAAUGACUGAAAAAUUUAAUUUCGUACAUCAAGUCAUCAUAUUGCAAGGAAAUUUUUGGAUGCUGCUAAGAAAUUUUGUUUGACUGAAGACAGGGAAACUUCUAAAUGAGGAAAACUAUUUUCACCUCUGAUUCAGUUGGGAAAGUGCACUGGAUAUAUUUGAAACAGCAAGCUUGAGCUCCAACUUGUUUCCCGUAGUUAGCUUCAUCAGUCUGCUUAAACUUCUACAAGCAAAGAAUAUAGACAUUUAUCACUGUAUAGCUCAAAUAAUGAGCCAUUUCAUUAUUAAUAAUGAGCCAUUUUAUUAUUCCUUUCAAUGCAAUACUAAAAAUGAAAAAUUCAUUUUCGUCAUAUUAUGCUCUUUUAUUUUAAAAAAGGAAAAAAGUGCUAGUCAAACAUCUUGUAAAAUUUUUGUUUUGUAUGGAAAAAAUACUGUUUUUGUUGACAUAUUUCGAAAGCGGGUUGAAAAGCUUGCAAAUUUGAGCCUUGAAGGUGAUGCCUACUCUGACUACCACCCUUUGUAAACAAUGACCUAUCAAGAGAAACAAAUAGCUGAAAAUCCAAAUUAUACAAUUCUGAAACUAUCUGACAAAAUAAAUACACAGUACAUGGUCAUUUGAAGAAAACUGGAUAUGUAAGCUGUUGUGAUGUACGUGUGCUGCAUAACAGAGCAGUAUAUGCCUACUUUUGUAUGUAUACUGUAUAAUAAUGUUAUUAAAAGAAAAAUCAAGAGGUAAGCCAGAAGAGUCUCUUUUAAUAACAUCAAGAGGGGGGGCUGCAUCCCGAAAAAAGUAUUGCUUUGUAUAUGGUGGGACUACAGAGGAACUGCUGAUGCCAAACCAGAGAAUAAAUUCAGAAAAAUACUGUUCCCAAAUAGCAGUUUUAAAAGGAGAAAUCGAAGCAAAACGUCCAGAACUGACCAAUCUUCAAGGUGUUGUCUUCCAUCGUAACAAUGUUGAGCCAUACACUUUGAUAAAUGUUAGACAAAGACUAUUUGAGUAUAUCUGGGAUGUUUUGUCUCACCUUACAUAUUCAUCAAACCUUGCCCUCUCGGAUUUUCAUCUCUUCAGAAGACUCUGAAAUUCUCUAAACGGCCUGGAGUUCACUUCUUUGGAGACUGACAAACAGCUCGUCGAUAACUUUUAAAAAAUGGAAUUUUCGGUCUUCCUGAGAAAUGGCAAAAUGUGACUGAAUAAAAUAAUACUUAUAUGAUUCAAUGAAAGUUUCUUAUGCUUUUGUAGUACCUUUCAUUUGUAAUUAUCUUCAAGAAGCCGCAUAACUUUUUGGAUGACCUAAUUUGAUGACUGGGCAA
This is a long non-coding RNA of Stegodyphus dumicola, 1461 nucleotides long. The record is from RefSeq and is a predicted model, not a curated record. Lineage: Eukaryota; Metazoa; Arthropoda; Arachnida; Araneae; Eresidae.